RNAcentral lists this ribosomal RNA (457 nucleotides) under uncultured bacterium. RNAcentral describes it as "bacterial SSU rRNA". It matches the Rfam family "Bacterial small subunit ribosomal RNA", at positions 29 to 524 of the family's 1533-position model. The record is from RNAcentral.
AACGAACGCUGGCGGCAUGCCUAACACAUGCAAGUCGAACGGGAUCCAGGCUUCGGCCUGGUGAGAGUGGCGGACGGGUGAGUAACACGUGGGAACCUGCCUUUUGGUUCGGGAUAACCGCGGGAAACUGCGGCUGAUACCGGAUGAUUCCUGAGGGACAAAGAUUUAUCGCCUUUGGAGGGGCCCGCGUCGGAUUAGGUAGUUGGUGGGGUAACGGCUCACCAAGCCUAUGAUCCGUAACUGGUCUGAGAGGAUGACCAGUCACACUGGGACUGAGACACGGCCCAGACUCCUACGGGAGGCAGCAGUGGGGAGUAUUGGACAAUGGGGGGCAACCCUGAUCCAGCAAUGCCGCGUGGGUGAUGAAGGCCUUCGGGUUGUAAAGCCUUUCGCGGGACGAUGAUGACGGUACCCGCAGAAGAAGCCCGGCUAACUUCGUGCCAGCAGCCGCGGUAAU